UAAAAAAAAAAAAAAAAAAACCUUUCACCUUACAUAGUUGCUCAGAUUCAAAUCUCAGAAUGCUGUUCCAAGCCAUUUUAAAAACGAAAAUCCUUCAAAAUUAUCAGGUUGGAUAAGGGUGUUGGUAUUUGGUGAACUUCGGAAUUUUUUUUAUGCUUUUGCUAAUUAGUUUCACCACUCCAAUAAAAGAAUGAUAAGGUCCAAGAUAAAACUACCAUCCCUUGAUACCACCAGAAAAUUCAACUUAUCAAACCCUAUUGUAACACCAAAUAUCUUCCAAGCCAAUCCAUGCUUAGGAGGAAAAUUGAGAGAGAGAAGAAAGUGAUAUACGUGUCUCAAUAUAUGGAUUUUUUUUUCUCCUCUCACGAU
RNAcentral lists this unclassified non-coding RNA (369 nucleotides) under Hevea brasiliensis (rubber tree). Lineage: Eukaryota; Viridiplantae; Streptophyta; Magnoliopsida; Malpighiales; Euphorbiaceae. The record is from RNAcentral.